RNAcentral lists this ribosomal RNA (467 nucleotides) under uncultured bacterium. RNAcentral describes it as "partial 16S ribosomal RNA". It matches the Rfam family "Bacterial small subunit ribosomal RNA", at positions 29 to 507 of the family's 1533-position model. The record is from RNAcentral.
ACGAACGCUGGCGGCGUGCUUAACACAUGCAAGUCGAACGGAAAGGCCCUGCUUUUGUGGGGUGCUCGAGUGGCGAACGGGUGAGUAACACGUGAGUAACCUGCCCUUGACUUUGGGAUAACUUCAGGAAACUGGGGCUCAUACCGGAUAGGAGCUCCUGCUGCAUGGUGGGGGUUGGAAAGUUUCGGCGGCUGGGGAUGGACUCGCGGCUUAUCAGCUUGUUGGUGGGGUAGUGGCUUACCAAGGCUUUGACGGGUAGCCGGCCUGAGAGGGUGACCGGCCACAUUGGGACUGAGAGACGGCCCAGACUCCUACGGGAGGCAGCAGUGGGGAAUAUUGCACAAUGGGCGGAAGCCUGAUGCAGCAACGCCGCGUGCGGGAUGACGGCCUUCGGGUUGUAAACCGCUUUCGCCUGUGACGAAGCGUGAGUGACGGUAAUGGGUAAAGAAGCACCGGCUAACUACGUG